This 227-nucleotide long non-coding RNA is filed under the name Solanum tuberosum (potato). RNAcentral's name for it is "long non-coding RNA (STUB_LNC006441)". Lineage: Eukaryota; Viridiplantae; Streptophyta; Magnoliopsida; Solanales; Solanaceae. The record is from RNAcentral.
UUGUUUCCAAUCGUUAUUCUCUUUCCAAUGCCUCCUCUUACAGAGCUCAGAGAUGUAAAUCUGUUUCCUCAUCCCAUUACUUCAAGAUCAUCACGAGGAAAGAAAGUAUCAACCUCUAUUGGAUCAAAACCAGGUUGCAUAAGGUUCUUAUUGUAUGCUACUUCAUUUUGAUCAAAAGAUGGAACACAAUAAUUUUUACUUUUUCCAAUAGAAGUUCUCUGUACAAC